AACUUUGUGUCGGUAUGAUGUCACUGUCAACUCAUGGUGACAGGGAAGUAAAGUGUUAGUCAUAUUUAUCUCCCACAUAGUUGUUCAGAUAUACUUUUACUGUGUUACUGUACGCACAGAAAACCUACAAACCAGCAAGGACUUCAGCGUGGAGUUCAUUGACUACUGGGAACAAUAUUGCCAUCAACUGUCUGUUUUGUGAAGUGUACGAAUAGGAUGUACUUCAUGAAGCGUGGAUGGAUACUUCUGUGUCUAAUUGCAGUGUCAAAUGCCUUUGAAACGUGUUACGAGUAUGGUAAUUUCCGUACACUGACAUGCCCGGAUUCCUGUUGUGGUACACGUUCAUCCAGAUAUUGUUGCCCCACGGUUUCCUUCGGCCAUCUACGAGCGGUGGUUAUUGGAGGCAUCGUGACCGGUGUAGUCCUUCUGAUCGCCGCAAUUGCAGGAAUAGUGCUGUGCUGUGUCUGCUGCUGUAGGUCAUCUCAAGGUCACCGAGGUCAAGUGGUGACCACCAACCAACAGCUUGCCGUCGUAUCGACAGGUACAAACCUCACACCUGCUACAUAUAACGCAGGGUACUUCAACCCACCCCAGCCUGCUCCAGGUCCAUACUACCCCCACCUGCAGGAACGUCACAAGCUCCACCACCCUACUCCGCCGGACCAUCGUACGACCCAGGACAAGCCGCAUAUCCAGCCCCAAGUGGAACAGUCCCUCCUUCUCCAUAUCCUGCUUAUCAUGAAAACAACUCGGAACCAACCAAAGCUGUGCCAACCAGCGAGCAUUAUUAAACUAGACUACAGUAGAGGCGAGGAUGUAUUGAUGUCAACGAUUUUUAGGAACAUGACAUUUCGGUGUACAUCCUUACUCCUUCAUCAGGUGAAUGAAAAAGGUCACUUGAUGAAGGAGUAAGAAUAUACUCCGAAACGGUGUCUUCCCUGUACAAAGACAAACCAAAUUUCACAUUUUGCACCAUGUAGACAGGUGUCAGCCCGGUAGGUAGACAAACCAAAUUUCAUAUGUUGCACCAUGUAGACAGGUGUCAGCCCGGUGUAAACCAAAUUUCAUAUGA
Haliotis rubra (blacklip abalone) is the source of this 1072-nucleotide RNA transcript. It is a transcript of the gene named protein shisa-4-like, with no coding region annotated. The record is from RefSeq and is a predicted model, not a curated record. NCBI's taxonomy places the organism in Eukaryota, Metazoa, Mollusca, Gastropoda, Lepetellida, Haliotidae. The transcript is spliced from 5 exons.